CUCGCUGCGUGUGUGUGUGUCUGUGUGUAGUCGAGGUUGGGUUUUUUUUUUUUGGCCAACCACCAGCGUUUCUUCCUCGGGUUGUAUGAGACCAACGUCUUCACAGAAUCUCCAAACUUUCGAUUAGGAGAGGCGAGGACCCUAAAACUAAUCAAAGACCUGACUGGACCAACUGGAAUCCGGAUUAUCUUUUCAUUACCCGUUAAUGUAGUAUUUGCCUGCAGGCUGUUUUGAAGACCUCCAGAUCUCCCCUCCUGCUGAGUCUCCACCCUCCGUGUCUCCUCCACCCUCCUCCGCUGCCUCCCCUCCACCACAGACAUGAUCAUCCGGCUGGGAAGACUGACGCCCGGCUACUUCAGACUGCUCCAGCGGCAAGUGGCCGGAGAUGUCCAGACCAAGCCUCACGACCGGGCCGUGAACCAGAUUGCCAUGAUGCUGGCCAUCAUGGGCCUGGGCCUGUCCUACUACAGUGCCAAGCAGAUGACCGAGACGGCCCAGGACCAGCCGCCGCCCUGAUCAGAGCCCCGACGCCAGCCUGAAAUACUCUGAAGACAUCCGCACGACUACAAGAUGAAGACGAUAUGACCGGGUGGGCUGGGACAGAGAAAGUGGUUGAGAACGUAGGCCUGGGCCCGCCAGCACCCUUUCCCCCAUCCAUCACCCUCUCCUGCCCUCACCAACGAUAGUGUUGAGAGGGCUCUAGUCCCUCUGUAAGGACCUGUUGUGUUUUAGUUAGUCCUGCUGGAUGUUGUUCAUCAUGGCCUUUUUUUGGAGAAGCAGAAUUGGCGGUCUAUAUUUGGGAUGGGCGGGGUGGGGGGGGGGGGGGGGGGGGGGGGGGGGUUGGAGGUGUUCAGCUAUAGUCGUUGCUGAGGUUCUGAUAAUGCUGUUCUAAACUGUGAACCUUGCUGGUGGUAUAGCAAGGAAGGCGGGUGGAAUGAUGUGAGGGGGUGAAGUCUGCUGAAGGGAUGCGUGCCGCCUGUAAUCAUUUCCUCAAAAGUGGAGCUCUGGGCAGACCGAUGGCUCUCUUCAGUGUUUUCUAUAUAUUCUUUUUUUUUUUUUUUUUUUUCAAUCACUCUCCACUUUAGGAAAUCCCUGUUGCGUGUCCAGAAUCUAAGCGUGACCUUCUCUCUCGGUCCAUAUUCAUGCUUGUUUGGUAUCUGUAACAGUAUUUGCACAGUAUACGAGUGAAACGUUUUUAGGAAGGACUUUGACGUUGUAUUCAUCACUACUUGUAUAUUUCCCCCUGUUCUGUUUCUGAGCCCUGGGCAGCACACCAGGACUGUCAUUGAAACGUCUUUCUUCAUUGAACUGUGCAUGUGUGUGUGUGUGUGCCCUAAUUUUAACCUAGAAUCUUCGAAUAUUGUGUUUUUAUUGAUGAAUGUAUAUGACUUCGUUUAUGAACUGAUUUAAUAAAGCUGUGACACUUUAA
This is a long non-coding RNA of Gadus morhua (Atlantic cod), 1429 nucleotides long. RefSeq lists it as uncharacterized. The record is from RefSeq and is a predicted model, not a curated record. The transcript has 3 exons. Lineage: Eukaryota; Metazoa; Chordata; Actinopteri; Gadiformes; Gadidae.